UAGGGAAUCUUCCACAAUGGACGAAAGUCUGAUGGAGCAACGCCGCGUGAGUGAAGAAGGUUUUCGGAUCGUAAAGCUCUGUUGUUGGUGAAGAAGGAUAGAGGCAGUAACUGGUCUUUAUUGACGGUAAUCAACCAGAAAGUCACGGCUAACUACGUGCUAG
This 163-nucleotide ribosomal RNA is filed under the name uncultured bacterium. Its description in RNAcentral is "partial 16S rRNA". It matches the Rfam family "Bacterial small subunit ribosomal RNA", at positions 355 to 511 of the family's 1533-position model. The record is from RNAcentral.